AAGCGGCUUAGUUAGGAGGCGCAAAUCAAUCGGAACCAAAUUCACUUUUGCUUCCAUUCAGAGAAAGGCCUUUUGAAGGGACUUUUGUCUUCUCCUCUCACUUGUCCCUCAAGCACCCUUUCACAUUC
Small nucleolar RNA from Cajanus cajan (pigeon pea), 128 nucleotides. It matches the Rfam family "Small nucleolar RNA U19". NCBI's taxonomy places the organism in Eukaryota, Viridiplantae, Streptophyta, Magnoliopsida, Fabales, Fabaceae. The record is from Rfam.